GCCCGGGUGGUGAAAUUGGUAGACACAGGAGACUUAAAAUCUCCCGAUCCUGAGGAUCGUGCCGGUUCGAGUCCGGCCCCGGGCACCA
RNAcentral lists this transfer RNA (88 nucleotides) under Terasakiispira papahanaumokuakeensis. RNAcentral's name for it is "tRNA-Leu". It matches the Rfam family "tRNA". Rfam says of the family: Transfer RNA (tRNA) molecules are approximately 80 nucleotides in length. The record is from RNAcentral. Lineage: Bacteria; Pseudomonadati; Pseudomonadota; Gammaproteobacteria; Oceanospirillales.